GCUAAUGGAAUCAGGAAGUAAACACCCUGGCUGUCUGAAAUUUGUUAUAACUGUGCUGAUUUCAAAUAGUUAAAUGGCAGACCUGCACGUGUCCCCAGAACCCUCUUUAACCCUGGAGAACUUGAACGGACUGCUUUUUAGCUGUGUGAACGCAGGCUUGUAGCGGAGUCUUCUCUAUGGGAAGCCUCUGAUCAGCCAUUUGAAAGUCUGUGCUGGGAAUGAAG
This is a non-coding RNA of Pelobates cultripes (western spadefoot toad), 224 nucleotides long. The record is from the annotation of a GenBank genome assembly. Lineage: Eukaryota; Metazoa; Chordata; Amphibia; Anura; Pelobatidae.